CUUAACACAUGCAAGUCGAGGGGCAGCAUGGUCUUAGCUUGCUAAGGCCGAUGGCGACCGGCGCACGGGUGAGUAACGCGUAUCCAACCUGCCUUACACUCUUGGACAGCCUUCUGAAAGGGAGAUUAAUACAAGAUGUUAUCAUGAGUAAGCAUUUUCGCAUGAUUAAAGGUUUACCGGUGUAAGAUGGGGAUGCGUUCCAUUAGAUAGUAGGCGGGGUAACGGCCCACCUAGUCUUCGAUGGAUAGGGGUUCUGAGAGGAAGGUCCCCCACAUUGGAACUGAGACACGGUCCAAACUCCUACGGGAGGCAGCAGUGAGGAAUAUUGGUCAAUGGACGAGAGUCUGAACCAGCCAAGUAGCGUGAAGGAUGAAGGUUCUAUGGAUUGUAAACUUCUUUUAUACGGGAAUAAACGAAUCCACGUGUGGAUUUUUGCAUGUACCGUAUGAAUAAGGAUCGGCUAACUCCGUGCCAGCAGCCGCGGUAAUACGGAGGAUCCGAGCGUUAUCCGGAUUUAUUGGGUUUAAAGGGAGCGUAGAUGGGUUGUUAAGUCAGUUGUGAAAGUUUGCGGCUCAACCGUAAAAUUGCAAUUGAUACUGGCAGUCUUGAGUACAGUUGAGGUAGGCGGAAUUCGUGGUGUAGCGGUGAAAUGCUUAGAUAUCACGAAGAACUCCGAUUGCGAAGGCAGCUUACUAACCUGUAACUGACAUUGAUGCUCGAAAGUGUGGGUAUCAAACAGGAUUAGAUACCCUGGUAGUCCACACGGUAAACGAUGAAUACUCGCUGUAGGCGAUAUACAGUCUGCGGCCAAGCGAAAGCAUUAAGUAUUCCACCUGGGGAGUACGCCGGCAACGGUGAAACUCAAAGGAAUUGACGGGGGCCCGCACAAGCGGAGGAACAUGUGGUUUAAUUCGAUGAUACGCGAGGAACCUUACCCGGGCUUAAAUUGCAACCGAAUAUGGCGGAAACGCUAUAGCUAGCAAUAGCGGUUGUGAAGGUGCUGCAUGGUUGUCGUCAGCUCGUGCCGUGAGGUGUCGGCUUAAGUGCCAUAACGAGCGCAACCCUUGCCGAUAGUUACUAACAGGUCAUGCUGAGGACUCUGUCGGGACUGCCAUCGUAAGAUGUGAGGAAGGUGGGGAUGACGUCAAAUCAGCACGGCCCUUACGUCCGGGACUACACACGUGUUACAAUGGGGGGUACAGAGGGCUGCUACCACGCAAGUGGAUGCCAAUCCCAAAAACCUCUCUCAGUUCGGAUUGAAGUCUGCAACCCGACUUCAUGAAGCUGGAUUCGCUAGUAAUCGCGCAUCAGCCACGGCGCGGUGAAUACGUUCCCGGGCCUUGUACACACCGCCCGUCAAGCCAUGGGAGCCGGGGGUACCUGAAGUGCGUAACCGCAAGGAGCGCCCUAGGGUAAAACUGGUGACUGGGGCUAAGU
This 1437-nucleotide ribosomal RNA is filed under the name uncultured organism. RNAcentral describes it as "16S ribosomal RNA". It matches the Rfam family "Bacterial small subunit ribosomal RNA". The record is from RNAcentral.